AAAGGAGACUGCCAGUGAUAAACUGGAGGAAGGUGGGGAUGACGUCAAGUCAUCAUGGCCCUUACGACCAGGGCUACACACGUGCUACAAUGGCGCAUACAAAGAGAAGCGACCUCGCGAGAGCAAGCGGACCUCAUAAAGUGCGUCGUAGUCCGGAUUGGAGUCUGCAACUCGACUCCAUGAAGUCGGAAUCGCUAGUAAUCGUGGAUCAGAAUGCCACGGUGAAUACGUUCCCGGGCCUUGUACACACCGCCCGUCACACCAUGGGAGUGGGUUGCAAAAGAAGUAGGUAGCUUAACCUUCGGGAGGGCGCUUACCACUUUGUGAUUCAUGACUGGGGUGAAGUCGUAACAAGGUAACCGUAGGGGAACCUGCGGUUGGAUCACCUCCUUACCUUAAAGAAGC
This 405-nucleotide ribosomal RNA is filed under the name Escherichia coli. RNAcentral's name for it is "bacterial SSU rRNA". It matches the Rfam family "Bacterial small subunit ribosomal RNA", at positions 1141 to 1533 of the family's 1533-position model. RNAcentral also lists the same sequence under 6 other names. Lineage: Bacteria; Pseudomonadati; Pseudomonadota; Gammaproteobacteria; Enterobacterales; Enterobacteriaceae. The record is from RNAcentral.